CAAAGGCUUGGUCCUGACUUUACUAUUAGCUCUAACCUGAUUUAUACAUGCAAGUAUCCGCACCCCCGUGAGAAUGCCCUCAAUCCCCUGCCCGGGGACAAGGAGCAGGCAUCAGGCACACAAAUUAGCCCAUGACGCCUUGCUACGCCACACCCCCAAGGGACUUCAGCAGUAAUAAACAUUAAGCCAUAAGUGAAAACUUGACUUAGUUACGGUUAUGAGGGUCGGUAAAAUUCGUGCCAGCCACCGCGGUUAUACGAAAGACCCCAGUUAAUAGCCACGGCGUAAAGGGUGGUUAAGGAAUAUAUUAAAUAAAGCUAAAGAUCUUCUAAGCCGUCAUACGCACUCCGAAGACACGAGACCCAAACACGAAAGUAGCUUUAGAUCUCCCGACUCCACAAAAGCUAAGAAACAAACUGGGAUUAGAUACCCCACUAUGCUUAGCCAUAAACCUAGAUGUAAUUUUACAUUCACAUCCGCCCGGGAACUACGAGCACAGCUUAAAACCCAAAGGACUUGGCGGUGCCUCAGACCCACCUAGAGGAGCCUGUUCUAGAACCGAUAACCCCCGUUAAACCUCACCACUCCUUGUUUUCUCCGCCUAUAUACCGCCGUCGUCAGCUCACCCUGUGAAGGCCCAAUAGUAAGCAAAAUGGAUGCACCCAAAAACGUCAGGUCGAGGUGUAGCGUAUGGAGUGGGAAGAAAUGGGCUACAUUUUCUAAAUAACAGAAUAUUACGAACAGCACCCUGAAAAUGGUGCUCAAAGGUGGAUUUAGUAGUAAAAAGCAAACAGAGUGUCCUUUUGAAUUAGGCUCUGAGGCGCGCACACACCGCCCGUCACUCUCCCCCACCCACUAAACCUAAAACUUAUAUAUAAUACACCAACUACCAAUACGGGGAGGCAAGUCGUAACAUGGUAAGUGUACCGGAAGGUGCACUUGGAAUAAU
This 949-nucleotide non-coding RNA is filed under the name Pterocryptis cochinchinensis. RNAcentral's name for it is "12S ribosomal RNA". It matches the Rfam family "Bacterial small subunit ribosomal RNA". Lineage: Eukaryota; Metazoa; Chordata; Actinopteri; Siluriformes; Siluridae. The record is from RNAcentral.